GCAUUGGUGAUUGGGGGUAAAAUUCUUGCCUUCCACGUGGGAGACUCAGGUUCAAGCCCCAGCCAAUGCU
RNAcentral lists this transfer RNA (70 nucleotides) under Loxodonta africana (African savanna elephant). It matches the Rfam family "tRNA". From Rfam's summary of the family: Transfer RNA (tRNA) molecules are approximately 80 nucleotides in length. Their secondary structure includes four short double-helical elements and three loops (D, anti-codon, and T loops). Further hydrogen bonds mediate the characteristic L-shaped molecular structure. tRNAs have two regions of fundamental functional importance: the anti-codon, which is responsible for specific mRNA codon recognition, and the 3' end, to which the tRNAs corresponding amino acid is attached (by aminoacyl-tRNA synthetases). tRNAs cope with the degeneracy of the genetic code in two manners: having more than one tRNA (with a specific anti-codon) for a particular amino acid; and 'wobble' base-pairing, i.e. permitting non-standard base-pairing at the 3rd anti-codon position. Lineage: Eukaryota; Metazoa; Chordata; Mammalia; Proboscidea; Elephantidae. The record is from Rfam by way of RNAcentral.